AAAAUAUUAGUUUAUAGAGAAUAAAUAGUUGUCGUCUAUUAGGAAAAAUUAUUUUUAUAUUUUA
This 64-nucleotide transfer RNA is filed under the name Vorticeros sp. n. MW-2019. Its description in RNAcentral is "tRNA-Asp". Lineage: Eukaryota; Metazoa; Platyhelminthes; Prolecithophora; Plagiostomidae. The record is from RNAcentral.